Molecule: long non-coding RNA, 8420 nt
Organism: Cercocebus atys (sooty mangabey)
Lineage: Eukaryota; Metazoa; Chordata; Mammalia; Primates; Cercopithecidae
Exons: 3
Source: RefSeq, a predicted model, not a curated record
CAGAACCUUGGUCUUGGACUUCCGGCCUCCAGGGUUUUGUUGUGGCAGCCUGAGCCUACUGAGACCAUCAAUGCAGGGAGAGGCAAAGGAGUCAUGGGGUAGCUUCUUUAGGUCAGGUGGUCAGAUGACCAUGAGGUGAGAAGAAAUGAAGGAAAGAAGCCAAAUAAAAUCCAUGGGAAGAAUGUUCCAGAAAGAAGGACUGGCAGGGCAAAGGCCCGGUGGCAGGCCCAGCUGGGGUGCACUCUGAAGGCCAGGGAAAGCGGUGGAUUUUAUUCUCCAGGUAACAGGAGCCCACAGGAGCACCUGAGGGAGGAGUGCUAGGAUGGAAUUUAUGAUAGGCCCUUCUGGCUGCUGUGAGGAGCCAGAAAGGAAGCCUGGGUGCCCUUUAGGAGGCUGCUGUGGUUGUCCGUGGGAGAGAUAUAGGUGUGGUUUUAAGAUGGAGAAAGCAGGUCAAUUUGGAAUAGGUUUGAAGGUGGCUGCAGCAGGUUCUGUUGAGGUGUAUUUUGGGAUAUAAGAGGAAGAGAGGAAUUGAGGAUGGUACCUCUUUUCAUGAUGUAUACAUAAGGCUAUCAGAAUACACAGGGCUUUUGUGGGUCCUAACCAUGGGCUCUUUAACACCUCGAGGAUGGUAACACCAAAAGUUGGGAGCUGCUGAGCUCCUUGGGGUCCUGGUACUCUGUCAUUGACUGGUGCAGCAGGUAGUGUUACUUACUUACUUAUUUUUACUGCCAGAGAUGGUGCCACAUCCUACUAACAUCAUUGCCCUUAAUACAUGGAAAUAGGGUGAAGAGAUUUAUAUGGGCAUUAAUGAUCUACUGCCAUGCAAAAAGUUACCCCUAAACAGUUUCUAUGGGUUAGGAAUUUGUGAUCAGCUUGGUUGGGUGCUUCUGUCUCAGAAUCAUGCAAUUGCAGUUGGAUGUCAGUUGGGGAUGUGGCUCAUCUGAAGACUCCUCUGGGGCUGAGGAUCCACUUCCAAUGUGACUUGCUCACGUGGCUGGCACAUUGAUGCUGGCUGCUGCAUGAGGGCCUUGGCUCCUCUCCUUGUGAACCUCUCCACAGAGCUACUUGAAUGUCCUUAUGACAUGGCAGCUAGCCUCCUCAGAGUAAGUGAUCCAAGAGAUCAAGGUGGGGGCUGCAAGGCCUUUUAUGACCCAGCCUUGUAGGUCACACACCAUCAUCCUGCUACAUGCGAUUUGUCACAGUAGGCCAGCCUCAAUUUAGUGCAGGAGCAAAUACCAAGAGGCAAAGUGACCACAGCAUACUCUGAUUUGCCUAAAAGGCAAAUAACAUUGUCACCACUGGCUGGAAAGGCACUCAAGUGACUUGUCUAUGGUGUGAUUUAUCCCCGGGUCACCCGCAGGGCUGGAUUUGAGUCAGACCACCUGUGUCCAGUGCUAGCUUUUCCCACUUGGGAGAGGCAUUUAGCCUCUCAGGGUCAUCGUCUGUGAAAUGGGCUCUGACUCCUGCCUUGUGGUGUGAUGUGAGAUUUGGGCCGAUUGCUGACACAAGCUGGUGCCUGAUAAGUGUUCUUCACUUCCCUCCUCUUAGCCAACUCCUGUUUGCUGUGCAGCACACGCUUGAGCACAAGUCUUUGAAAUGAGUACUUUGAUUACUAUAGACCGUUUAGUAACCUUUGCACCUUGUCUAUGUGGAGAUUGAAUGGAUGGAUUCUUUUCUUGGCUUUGCCUGACACCCCUGGAAUGAUAGGCACUAGAGAGAACAUCACUCAGAUCUACACAUAGGCACGCUGGGCACGUGCGUGGCUGCAGGUUCAAUACAGGCUAGCUCUGAUUUUUGCCAACUUUCAGAUAUGUGUACAGAUUAGAUGUCAGUUAUAUAAUUUGGUUUAAAUUAUUUGCAAUCAGCUUUACGCCGUAGAUAAACUGGGAGCCACCGAUGCUGUUGGUCUUAACCUGUUCUACAAAUUAGUUUGUAGGUCAGGGUAAACGAUGACUCAAAAUCUUGUCUCGGGUGGGCAUUAGGUAAGUUUCUUUAGAGCAAUGUCAUUAGUAUCUUGUUCACAUGGGAGGAUGUUUUUAGACACGUUGGUUUGGCUUGUGUGGGUGAGAUGGGGAAUAACAUUAUUUCCCCCCAGUCUACAAUGCCAGAAUGGGUCCAUUUCAAUGAAAUGCAACUCCUGGGUGGCCAACUAAGCUUAAAUAGAAGUCAGCUGCACGCUGCCCGCCACCCUACCCUUGGGCCCUGGCUACUCUCAUUUCGACAGCCUCAUAAAACUGCAACAGGGGACAAACAAGAUCUAAUUGGCACUUUUGGUUUCACAGUGAAUUGGUUGUGCUCGAUACGACUGCCGAUAAGAAUUCAGAUGAAACAUUCUGAAACCAUCUGCAUGAAGCCUUGAUGUUCCUGCCAAGUAUACUCAUAGAUCUAAAGAUAAGCUAUCUGAUCCAGUGGCCUUGGCCAUCCUAAUUUACUUAAUUAUACAGUUGAACUCAUUGUCAGACAUGGGUGCAGUGAUGUGAAGGCUGCCGUGGAGUGAUUCACAUCGCUCGUGAGUUGGGUAAUAAGUGGUUCUGUGCUGCAAGCUUGGGGUCUACAGAGUCUGGUUACAACAGGCAGGUGUCUUCAUCUUAUGAAAAGGUUUGGGAGAUUGUGGGGGCUCCGCACUCUGACAGCGGAAGGAACAUGGAGCAAACCCCACCCAGGACUUUCCCUCAGAGGUCUGCUCUGCUCCACCUUUGCUUGAAGGUAAGAUUUUGGGAAAAUCUCCUCCCCCUCUGAACUCGAGGGUGCCCAUGUGUUUAUCUCCAGAUGCAGCUAAUAUCACUCAUGGAAUUACAGCCGACCCUUUAAAAACACGGGUUUGAAUAUUGAGGGUCCAGUAAUACGCAGUUUCUUUUCUUCACGCAAAUGUGGGUAGCCGAGAGACAACGGAAUUCAAACUUGUCCACUGUUUUCUGGAAUUGAAGGAAUCUUUUCUGGUGAGAAUUCUGAACAAUUGCUGCUGUUACCCAAGCUUCAGCGAUCGGUACAUGAGCUUCAAGUGAGCACGUAGUCAGUACUGAUUGUUUAAUAAACACGGUGUCAGUUCAGAGAACUCCCAGCAAUACGGUCAUGUCUGACACACAUGGACUGAGCUUCCACAGGUGCGUCGUGAGAGACGUUUAUCAGGGUCCUGGAUCAUUCGAGCUCGCUCCAGGCACCACUGGGGUCCUCAGCCCUAUGGAGCGACACAUUCCUGUUCCUGCAUGGAGGCAGCAGCUAUGACCUACGCAGCGACCGCACAGUGAAGGUAAAGACGAAGAAACACGUUGGAGUUCCUUCAGUGUGACUUGGAAUCUGCGUUUGUGUUUAAAAUUCCAGACAGUGACAUAGGGUUAGAACUGUGAGGUGCACCAUUUUUAUUGGGUAAGUUCAGAUUUCAGCUCAUGCAUAUUUGUUUCAUGUCGUGAUUGUUACUAACAAUAAUUUUGUCUUAUAGAAGAGAGGAGUGUUGGCAGUGAUCUGCUCAGGGUGUCAAAUAUGCGAGGUCUGUCGGCUACAUCACACUAUAACUGGGGCAGAAAUUCAGGCUCUUUUUGGGUUUUGUUUUUGCAUACAGUUGUCCUACACCUGAAAAGCAGAUGGUAUAUUACACAUACUGUUACGUUUUCUCUUGCCAAGGUGCAGAUGUCCUUUGUAUGUUGUUCAACCCUCACAAUGUGUACUUUAUGGAAAGCGUACAUCCCAGUCAAGCCCAUAGGAAAGGCAUUACCCAUUGACCUUUCUGAAAUAUUCUGCCCCCGUGAUUCUAGCAAUACCAGAAUGACUGCUUGAGAAUCUCUAGCCUGGCAUCUCCAGGCCCCUGGCUUUCCUCUGUGCUGGAGACCAUAGUGCUCCACAGGACACUCCUUUAUGGCUGGCACCCACAUCCCCCUCCUGAUGCAGCAAUGAUGCUGGAGUCUGUAGCUUAGCCCUCCCCAGGGGUCUGCCCUCAGCCAGGGUCUACUCCAUCCUUGAGCUGCCCCCAUCCAAUGGCUGGUUUAGGAGGUGCACGAGGGUCUAGCUUGGUGCAUUAGGACAAGCAUGAAGUACCCCCAGCUGAGCCUUUCCUUGGGCCUCCACACCUCAAAUUCUCCCGCUUUCCAGUCCUGCCUCCUUACUCCCUAUGGGGAUUGACCCUGGGGGCACCCCCAGUCUACUGCCUAUGCACAAGUCAGGGGCUGUUCCUGGGAACUCUGUUAUGACACAUCCCUUCUCCCCAAACCUACACCUUGCGUGGAUUCGGCUUUCUGGCCAGUGCCCUCUUCUCCAAAUGCACCUGUAGGUCCCCAUCUUGGUCCCUGUAGCAAUCAGUGUUGUGCAUUAAGUGUGUCCUUCCGGGCUCGUGGGAGGCUUUUGUUCCUGGCCCCUGUGUCUGAUAAGCUGGGGACACAUAUGACAUGUGUCAGUUCCAAGCGAACUGUUGGUUACAGCAGCACCAUACUGAAUAUCUGACUGAUACAGCUCCUUUGGGUUAGAACCUCCCUCCCUGCAUUUUCUGGCCAGUUUUACUUUCCAAAUUCUGGACAAAAUGCAGCCAUCUCUGUAGACCUCGGAAUCCAGUUGGGAUCCAGUGUUCAUCUUUGUUCUCUUGAAGUCCAUCUUCCCCGGGAGACCGACAAUGUCUUCAGGAUAGAAAGUGCAUCUUAGUGACCCUCCAUCCCUCACAAGGCCUUGGUCUGAGUAGAGAGGUAAUGCUUGCUGAGAGGACGGGGGCUCUCGAGGACCUGAGUGAGGUGCCCAGGAUAGAUGAUGAAUAGGCACUGGUGAUGUCAGUGUGCCAAUAGGGGAGCCAUUCCUGACGCCGAUGCUAAAUAUCACACGUCACGUUCCUUUCAUCAGCCAUAGAGCAAAAUCCCUGGACUCUCACUCACCCACUGAACACCUCACAUUCUUAGAUAAAAGAAUGAUUUAAGUGGGUCUGCAGUAUUCUGUAACAUAUUGUUCUCGGCACCAUAUGCUUAAUACUGAUAGCCGGUGUUUGCUCGCAGUUACUUCUGCAGGCUCAUGUGUUGAGCAAACAUCAGUAUCCCGGGGCCCAAAUACUGCUGAAAGCAACUGAAAAUAUGGCAAUGACUACCAUGAAUAUCAGUCCUAAUGAACUUCCCAUUGUAUCCAGAGUACCAAUACUGUCAUUUCAGCGGCUCGGUGUGGGUCUCAAAGGGCACAUCUACUAUCCCUGCCCUCUGCAGAGGCUCAGGGAGGUUGACCGCCUGUAGGGGAACCACGGCUGGAAUGGGACACCCGCUGGGGGAUUCUCACAGAGCAGCAUCCUGCUGCGGGGUAACCGCCCUUUCCUGCCUCUCUUGCCACUCUUCUGCCUCUGCCAUUACUGGUCCUGUUGUCUGACUCACUUACAGUAUUUCGAGGAGGACCCUGAGGGCUUCCUUCUUCAUUCUGUUCCUGAAUUAUUUCCCUCAAAUUAUUUCAUAUUAUGUAUUUACUUUUAAUUAUCUUUAUAUUGAUCAUUUGUUCUCAAACUCUGUUAUAUUGAUUUAUUUUAGCCUUGGUAUUUUUAUAACACCACUUAAGCCUCAGCUGUCUGGCCAGUUAAAUGAAACGAAUCAUAUCAAGCAAGCACACGCUGAUCUGUAGGUCUGCCUCCUCACACACCUGCCGUGGGGCAAGAAUUGGGUUCCAGCCCCUGAUCGGCACAGGAGUGCACAAGCAGUCUCCCACGCAGGCAGCUUCUGUGACUUCACAAUCAAAGAUGUUUCCGAGGCUGAAGAUUCUUCCUUGACCUCAGCAUCCUCCUUCACCUACUGCAGGGGUGACUACUGCCCAGUACAGGAGCUGGAGGAGAUCUUGCAGGCAAAGAAGAGAGACAAGUGCAGUCCCAUGAGAUCCGGAAUGCUUAUGGUCUACCCCAAAGUCAAUCAACAGCAAUUCUGGUUUGGAAAUCAACGCAUCUGCACUCUGAGUUGCAUUGGAUCCUGGCGGACCAGAGCUCUGCACGCUUUCUACUCUCCAGCCUGUGUGCAGAAGUUGUAAUACGAAAAAUGACAUUCUCCAAACUCCCUUGCAGCUAGAUUCUGGGCCUGAUUUUAUUUCAUUUUGACUAGGUGCACGUGCUUGCCAUUUACAGGACAGAAGGGAGUGGGGGCUGCGCGUUGCCGUGUCUGCCGUUUCCAUCGUGAAGCACAGUGGAGAGGUCCUGGUUUUCUGCAGCAGUUUUAGCAAGAGCUCCUGAUUUCUGGGCAGUGGCUCUGUGAGUGUGAAGAGCAGGGCCUGGAGCAGUCAUUUUGCUCGUGAGCAAGUUGCAGCCACUCAUAGUUCUGAGCCUCUUUUUGAUCCCUAGUUCCUAAGGUGAGGUAUUCCUGAAGCAUUUGGUUGUGGCUGGUUUUCCGAUUUCCUAAUUAUAAUAAAGGUGGGUGAUCUGAGAGCCAGAGGAAGCCCAGCAUCCUUCCUCCCCACCCCACUGUCUAACUUCUUGCUGGAAGCACCAUGGGUGCAGUCGUCUGGCACAUCCACUAGGCUGCCUAGAGUAGCUCUUUGCGCAAUGGAACUCAAUCUUAAGUGCAUAAAUGAUGCAUCCAUCUGGAAGACUCUUCAAAAGAGCUGCGUAUCUCAUGACUUAGUUAAGUAUGCGCAACAGGUCACAAUAAAUUGGAAGUGCUAGUGUUGGGAUGUUGGGAUGAUAGGAAUUUCUUCAUUGGCUUUAAAAAAAACUCCUGGAAGGUGAGUGUUAGGUGGAAUCAGAUUUGCUGUCCUGUCCCUGAAAUUCAGCCUCUCUUUCUCUUUUCUCUCCUCUGUAUUAGAUUAUUUUCUAACUACAGCACAAAGGCAGCCCAUGGACUUAAUUACUUGGAACUAUAUUUCCUUUCAUUAAAGGGAUUUACUUUAAGUCCUAACCAAGUUCGACAUUCAGCCUAUCUACUUUAAAUAACAAGUGAUUUUCUGUGUUCUCCAAGCUUACUACAAUAAACAUGUUAUUUUCAGGUUUUAAGUGUAAAAGUUUAACAUAACCUCUAUUCACCCCCUGCUUCCCAAGAAGGAAAUAUUUUUGCAUAUACAAUUAUACACAAGCAUAUUAUUUUGUUUUACUUUAUCUUUACGCAAGUAGGACUUUAGAAAGCUUACUAUUCUGUAACUUUUAGCUCUUCUUUAGCACUUCGGUAACUUUUAGUACAUCUUGGACUUCUUCGCUUAGCAGGACAGACGAUGGAAAGCCAUCAGAAUAGCAAGGAUGUACUGAGCAUUUCUCAUGUGCUGUGUGUUAAAUUAGCCCUUUAAGUGGAUUGAUACCUUUGAUCUACACAGCAGAUAGGAAGUCAGCGCUUUCUAAAUCAAUCCUGCUCUUGGAGAAGGUUAUGCAUGUAAACCCCCCUGGACCUCCUCCUCACACUGUAACUCCCUGUGAUAAAGCCAACUCCUGCUUUAUAACAAAUACUCAUAUCUAUUUGGUAAGUCCCUUCUCAUCUCUUUUCUUGUUUAGACUUUCUCCAGCUCCAUUACAGGGACAUAUUAAAAGAUUCUAUUAGUGCUUAGGAUAUAGAGUACAUAUGGACAACUUUAUACUAUUAUGCCUUUUAUUCAAGAAAAAGAGAUUUUUAUAUAUUGAAAGAGAGACUGGGUCAAAGACGCCUCUGGGUAUGUUGUUGGCUCCUUUCAAGUACUUCUUAUGGCUGUUAGCACAAAGACAAAAUUCCUGCCUCCGUGCCAGGUUUUUGCCAUAUGUCCAGCUUGUCUCAUCCAGUAUGGGCACACGACCCUUCAGUUCUUUGAACAAGAAGGCUCCAUGCCACCACAGCACAGGCCUUUGGACACAGUGUUCUCUCGGUCUGGGAUGGGAUGCUUCCGCCCUCUACCCGAAUAACUCCCACACGCCCUUCAGAUCCCAAGCUGAACACUGUUUCUUCAGAAUGCCUUUCAUGGCAUGGACUGGCAUUACCAAAAUUUUUCUGUCAUUUUGAUAAAAGAAAAACUACAUACAAUAAUUUUAUCUACAUUUCUUUGUGUUUGAGUUGAACAUGUUUCUUGUCCAUUUUUGUUUCCUCAUAAACAGCUGGUUGGUACUUUUAGAUCAUUUUUUAUGGAGUUGUUCCUUUUUAUUUAUUCACAGGAACUUAUUUAUAUUAAAGAAAAUUAUUGGUCUUAUUUCUUCUAUAUACCUUUCCGUUCAAAUACCAGUUGGUUAGUUGACUUUUACAUUUGCUUAAGGCAUUUUUCUUUCUCAAAAGGUACUGGUUUUUACGCAGUCAGAGUUAUUAAUGCUUUCUUUUAAUGUUUUUGGAUUUUGUGUGGAACUAAGAAAAGGCUCCACUUCUCCAAAGUUAGUAAUAGAACGGGGCACCAGUUUUGUUUUUUCUGCCAAAUGACUAUCUAGGUGAGCCAAGAUGAGAUACUGAUAAGCCAUCUUUUCUAAGUGAUUUGAUUUUUGUUUUUUGUUUUCUUUUUUGAGACAGAGUCUUGCUCUGUCACGCAGGCUGCAGUGCAGUGUC